GCCGCUGGGGAGCGACGUGCCGUUCCCGCCGCCACUAAAGCGCUUCCGAGUCACCAUCGCUCGGCGGGGAAGUGGGAGGCGGCCUAGGAAGGGGAGGAAGGCUGCGUCGAGAGCUCUGCCAGCUGCACGCGUGGCCGCGGCACGGCUCGCAGGAGGGGAGAGACCUAGUACCUCUUGCUGCUGUGGUCUUGGUAAUAUUAGACUGAUGGAAUCAUGCCUCCAGCUGAAGACCGUUCAUGUUUGUUGAUGGGAAUAAGUUCCCAGAUCCCAGCUUGGGAACAUGCUGCUGGCACGUUAUAAAGCCCAUCUUUGCCUUCUCAGUAUUAGCAUGACAGCAUGUGCAUUUUAGAGGUACCUCAGAAUUGAAUUAUUCUUAAUACAGUGGCCCUACUGGAUGAAAAGAAAAUAAUCUUCUGUUUUCCAAAUGCCCAAGUUUGUUCUUUGCAACAACAUGUUUUACUGUGGAAAAAUGAAAGAAGGAUCUUUCUGGACACUUUAAAGAUAGCUGGUGGACUUAGCAAAAUGCUUUGUUUGAGGAAGGUUUGCUUGUUUCCACUGAGACGUUACCAAGCUCGAACUCUGAGUAGUGAUCUGCUUUUGAGCCAGAUAAAUAACUGCACCCAUGAAGAUGAAGUGUUCAGUCUUGUUGGAAGGAACAAGGCCAGGCUUUCUGAAAAACAUGUGGGAAUUGCGCUGAAUGUGCUGUGGCAAUUGCAAAAGAAGAGGCCCCUUCUAUUAAGGACUAGUGACUAUGUAAGAAAUCACUCCCAGUUUCUUGCUCUUUGCAUUUUAGCAGAAAACAAGGUACAACACAUGGAAGAUGAGGUGAUAGUGGACACCCUGUACAGUAUUCAGAGGCUCAAUGUUGAAGACCAUGAUUCUCUAGCAGAAGUGCUUGUUACAGAAGCAUGGAAAAGAUUAGAAAGACUUAGUUUACCAGCUCUAUCGAAAUUUGCACUGUGUUUAUACAAGCAGCGCAGACAGUUUAGUCCCCUAAUUGGCAAAAUAGCUCAUAUUGUGGACAUGAAACUGGAUUCUAUAGAGGAUAUAAGGAUUUUGUCAGUUUUGAUGAUCAGCAUAUCUGAUGUUAUCUCACAGAGUUUUCGAGAUCGAUUACUACAGAAGGCUGAACAGCUCUUAGGAGAAGAGGAUGAAGUCUACUUCAAUUACGCCAAAAGAGUAACACAGUUUCUUCAAAAUGUUAAACUGACGUACUAUCCAUUGCUAGAAAAAUGUAAUAAGAUUUUUCUUAAAAGUGCCUCCCGGCUUGAUUUACACAAUAUUAGUAUUAUUUUUGGAGUGUAUGAGCAGCUGGGUUUUGACAGUGCUGAAUUCAGCUUGGUUGCUAAACAGCUGCUGUCUGAAUCGAUAGAUGAUUAUCAUGAUCCUGAAACCUUUGCAAAAUUAUUUUUUAUUCUUGCGCCUAUGGCUGGAUCCAAGGUGAGAGAAAGGUUGCUAGUAACUGCAGUGCACGUGGCAGAAGGAUUUAGCAGUCAUCAGGUGUUGUUGAUACUAAAGACCAUGCAGAAAAUGAGAUGUAGAAAUUCUCAUCUACUCAAAAAAAUGGUUUCUGUUCUGCACAAACACUUGGAUAGCUAUCAUGUAUUACAGUUGAUAAAGUUAACACAGUAUUUGAUGUUGUUGCGUUGCCACGAUCAGGAGCUGUUUGCCAAACUAAAAAUGUUGCUAUUUGGCUUUUUAAAAUCUAGUGUCAUACCUGCUGAUACCGCUGCAAUAAUUCGUGUUCUGGCCUUGCUUCCUUCGUCUCAAGUAGAAGAAAUCAUUGUAAACAAGGCAACAGCAAUUCUACCUCAGUGCAGUCUCCAUCAUUUGAAUUAUAUUGCUACAGCACUUGUCAAAUGGAAUCACUAUGACCAGUUGCACUGGCAAAACACUUCAGAGCUAUGUGUAAAGCUUCUGCAGAAAAUAAAUGACUGUGGAUUUCAGAGGCUUCACAAAGCUGGGAACUUAAAUCUUCUGUUGGAAGAACUCACACAUGUGAAUGGAGAGUGGUUUCAGGAGGUCAUCAGGGGGGAAACUGUGGCCACAUGUCAGCGCUUGAUAGACCAAAUAACAUGGGCAAAUGUAUUACAGUUGUCUUUUUUUCUCAUAAAAACAAACCACCGCUGUCCUUCAUUACUUGACAGAAUAGCAUCUGUGACUGUUGAAAAUACAGACAAGAUCCACCCCUUUGAAAUGUAUUUUAUUCUCUGCCUUUUCUCUAUUCUGAACUAUGAUCCACCUGGCAAUGAAGAGUUCUUUGAGAGUUGUAUCCAACAUCUUACUUCUAACUUGAGUUGUUUUGAAACUCACCACUUGGUGCUGCUUGGUCAUGUUUUGGCAGUGGCUGGUUAUUUUCCUCCAGCUCUGAUAAAGACAAUAUUUAAUGUUUCUUUCCUAAGCAAAUUGGAUGCUCAACUUGAAGUGCUGUCUGAUACCUUAAAGCAGAGGGUCCGCUCACGCCUUAUGAAACUGAACAGAGCAGUCUGUCUGGAAUGCCCAGAGUUUCACAUCCCUUGGUUUCAUGAGCACUAUUGCCAUCAUAUCUUUUAUACAGGUAGGAGCCGAAUAAAUCCACUGCGACAGCACGUUCACAAAAUGCUGGCAGAGAUCUUAGGAGGGAGCCAUUAUACAAGAGUGUCUGUUCUCACACCAUACUACUAUGAAAUAGAUUUUGAGUGCAUUCUGGAUAAAAAUAAAAAGCCUCUUUCCUAUAUGGCUCAGAAUAUGCUUCUGGGUGCUUUGGAGGGAGUACACUGGAGACGUGACAUCAAGGUUGAAGGUAGAAAGGCUCUGCCACCAGGGGCUCAGAGAAUUGCUUUGGAACUUCUUGAUUCAAAAGCUUUUAUCAAAGAUUCACAUCACCUGAAAGGAGAAGCUGCAGUGAAAAAACGACACCUGGAAAUGCUGGGGUACCGGGUCAUUCAGAACAGAGAUAACAUGGGUGACUGUGUCAGGGGAGGGUGUUGUGUGGUGAGGAACCUCCAGCUGCUUGCUUUUUCUACCCUGUGAUGUGGUGUGUGCACAAGAAGUAAUGGCUUGAGCCUUCUGGAAUGCCUUCACAUACCUGAAAGGUGGUCUUCAAGUAGCAACUAUGGAGUGUAAAAAGGUAGCAGUGGCUGUAGAUGGAGUGAUCAGUCAUGGACAGUCAUGUGCCUGGGCCGGACCCUGCAUUUCAGCCCAAAGAGGCACCUGGCUGAUGGCAGUGGAGGAAGGGCAACCCACUCACCAGCAAUGCUGUCCAGCUGAAAGAGCAUCACAACAGAAGAUUUAGAAAAGGCAAGUAGUAGAAAUUCAUGCAACAAAAACUGUUCCACAGAAUAAAUCUAAUCAUAGAUCAGGUAAUUCUUUUUCCAGAAGUGUGUUCCACAGUCAAGGUCUGCAUGGUAAAAUGCAUCUCCCAGAUUUGUCAGACCACUCCUGUUGGACAAGACAUUUUAUUGCAAUGGUAAAAUGUAGAUCGUGGCCAUGGAUUGCCCCUGUAGCUAGAUCUAGGUAGCGUACUGAGGACAAAAUGUACGCAUCACAGGUCACAGCCUGUUCAUUGUAUCAGUCUCGAAGAUGACAUCUGUACUGUUGAUAGGGCACUAAACUAGUCAUGCAUUUUUGAGCUAUUGGCAGCCUGGUUUUGUCUUGGGCUGCUAGCUACCAAACAAAAUGUCAACAGGUUAUAGUAACAGAGUAACAGGUGCAUCACUGGUAGAGAAAGGGACAAUAGUAAGUGAAUGUUGGUAUGGUCCACAUUGACAUUUUAGAGGGAACCACAGCCUCAUGGGUAAUGCAGAAAAGUAUUUUAACUAUACAUAGUAACAGCAGCAAGCAGUCUUAAAGAUGACAAGUGAGAAAGGAUUUGGGGAAAUGGAUUUAGACUUAUAAAGUAGGAUUUUGAAAAUUUCAUUAAUUUUUAGUGUCAAUGUAGAGGUUUAGUUUUUCAGGGGCCCCUUUCUAGUAGCCUAAGACUGAUUAUUCAGUUCUGAAUUAUAUACAUUAUUGACAUCAAUGUGGUAUUUCUAUUGGAAGAAGUAACAAGUUCUGCACUUCACUGAAUAAUGUUUUACACCUGCACAGGGACGUGAGCAGUGUCCUCUCUAGCAAACUGACUUUCCUCUCACAGGUAUAACAGAUUCCUGAAACCGGCCCUUUCAUUGUGUGUGAAAUCACAGUGAGCCUUAGUGCUAUGAACACUUAAUAUUUGCAUUUUAGAUAUAUGAAGGCUUUAAAAUUCUAUCACCACCUAUCCCUCUGUUUUAUUUCAUAUUGGCAUCGGACCUACUUUCACUCUUUUAGGUCAAUGUGCCUAAAGACAAGCUGUAGCCAGCAGCAUAUUGCAUAAUUCAUUAGAAGAUCAUUUAAGUAUCAAAGAACAUGUAGCCAGAUAGCUAAAAAUACAACAGAAUUAGUUUAUGAUAUAAGCAUGCCAAAUGGUAAUUCUGCUACUUUUCUGAAAUACAUCAUGGGAGUUACAAUUUAUACAGAUUUACAAAGUCAAGAAAAAAAAAAUGCAUUCAUAGUUGGAACAUUGUAUUUAGUCUACUGGCAUCAACAGUUUGUGAGAACAACCUUCUACCUAUAAAUAACAUAUUUUGGAAUGCCCUUAUGUUUUCAAACGAAAAUGUGACAAAUUUGGAAUUUUGGCGAAAAAAGUGACAUUUAAAAUACAUUAUUAUGGUCAUAAAAAUAUUUCAGAUACAAAAAACAACAAAAAAAGAUUGUAUCUAAAGAAGCUAAGUACUCAACUUUCAUGGAACUUAAAUUCACAGAAGACAUUCAACAAUAAUUAGUCUUAACUUUAGGCACCUGUACAACAACAAAUCAGGACCUUAAUGAAAGCUAGUGCCUGGAUAUAAUAUGCUAGUUAAUCUUUUCUGAGAUCUCACCAUGGACUUAAUCUUGAAAGAGAAGAUGCAGGUCCCUUGGUUUCACUUACCUUUAUGAGACAGGAAUAACUUUCUAUAGGAAUUUUUCUCCACUGACCAGAGACUAGACAAUUCACUUGCAAAGACUCCAAAUACUUUUCAGUGACUCUUACAAGCACCUAUUAUUGCACCAAUAAUUAUAAAGCUUAUACCUGGAAGAAGUACGAUUGGAAAGGCUGAUCCUUGUUCUCCUCUUCCACAUACAGUCCUCCAACAACGUAGACCUGAUUUUGUUUGGUGACUAUACUGGAAUGAUU
This is an RNA transcript of Cygnus olor (mute swan), 5173 nucleotides long. It is a transcript of the gene named FAST kinase domains 1, with no coding region annotated. The transcript is spliced from 19 exons. The record is from RefSeq and is a predicted model, not a curated record. Lineage: Eukaryota; Metazoa; Chordata; Aves; Anseriformes; Anatidae.